UGACAGCAUCGGAUUGCAGCGCUGUUUCAGAAAGGUGAAAUGCAUCAAAGUUGAGGAUGCAGGCAGAGUUGAAGGCUAUGUACUGUUACAUAGCACAGGCUGGUCUAUGCCGGAGGCCUAUUGGAUAGUGGGAGUGCGGAUGAUGACUUCAGAUGUCCAAGGCAGGCGGCAGGAUGCGUGCAGUUCAUCACACACUCUGUGUCGUAUUCACCUAAUUGGAUCUAUGAAGAACGUCAGUGGGCCCAACACUGCCCGAGUCAGUCCUCCACCACGGGACAGCCACUUGUGCUGGGACACCACAAGAUGUCAUCAAGAUCAUUAUGACAGGAUUUCCAUCUUUCAUUUUGGUAGUAAUGGACUUGUAGGAAGCCUUCACACUCUGGACUUGUCUCCCCACACAUACAUUUCUUGUCUCCCAUUAUCCUCUAUGUUUAUUUAUUGUAGGCCCUGAGAUAAUCAUCCUGCGUUCUGCCUGGCCAUAUCUGAAAUUAAAGUUGGCGAUGGUGUCAGUAACUCAGGUUUCUCUUCUCGGGGGCUGUCAGCGUCUUGUCCUCAUUGUUUAUUUGCUCUUCUUGUUUCCUUGAGGGCUCGGGACGG
Long non-coding RNA from Hyla sarda, 597 nucleotides. RefSeq lists it as uncharacterized. The transcript has 3 exons. The record is from RefSeq and is a predicted model, not a curated record. Lineage: Eukaryota; Metazoa; Chordata; Amphibia; Anura; Hylidae.